This 306-nucleotide ribosomal RNA is filed under the name Francisella tularensis subsp. holarctica. Its description in RNAcentral is "partial 23S ribosomal RNA". It matches the Rfam family "Bacterial large subunit ribosomal RNA", at positions 315 to 616 of the family's 2925-position model. The record is from RNAcentral. Lineage: Bacteria; Pseudomonadati; Pseudomonadota; Gammaproteobacteria; Thiotrichales; Francisellaceae.
AUUUAUCUGUAAUUAUAGGAGAACAAGUUGGGAAGCUUGACGAUAGAGGGUGAUAGUCCCGUAUACGAAAAAAUCACAGUGGAACUAAGCAUCCGAACAAGUAGGACGGGGCACGUGGAACCUUGUCUGAAUAUGGGGGGACCAUCCUCCCAGGCUAAAUACUCCUGAAUGACCGAUAGUGAACUAGUACCGUGAGGGAAAGGUGAAAAGAACCCUUAUAAAUGGAGUGAAAUAGAAUCGGAAACCGCUUGCAUACACGCAGUAGGAGCAUGAUUUAUUCAUGUGAAUGCGUACAUUUUGUAUAAU